RNAcentral lists this ribosomal RNA (2903 nucleotides) under Salmonella enterica. RNAcentral's name for it is "bacterial LSU rRNA". It matches the Rfam family "Bacterial large subunit ribosomal RNA". The record is from RNAcentral. Lineage: Bacteria; Pseudomonadati; Pseudomonadota; Gammaproteobacteria; Enterobacterales; Enterobacteriaceae.
UUAAGCGACUAAGCGUACACGGUGGAUGCCCUGGCAGUCAGAGGCGAUGAAGGGCGUGCUAAUCUGCGAUAAGCGCCGGUAAGGUGAUAUGAACCGUUAUAACCGGCGAUACCCGAAUGGGGAAACCCAGUGUGACUCGUCACACUAUCAUUAACUGAAUCCAUAGGUUAAUGAGGCGAACCGGGGGAACUGAAACAUCUAAGUACCCCGAGGAAAAGAAAUCAACCGAGAUUCCCCCAGUAGCGGCGAGCGAACGGGGAGGAGCCCAGAGCCUGAAUCAGCAUGUGUGUUAGUGGAAGCGUCUGGAAAGGCGCGCGAUACAGGGUGACAGCCCCGUACACAAAAGCGCAUGUGCUGUGAGCUCGAUGAGUAGGGCGGGACACGUGGUAUCCUGUCUGAAUAUGGGGGGACCAUCCUCCAAGGCUAAAUACUCCUGACUGACCGAUAGUGAACCAGUACCGUGAGGGAAAGGCGAAAAGAACCCCGGCGAGGGGAGUGAAAAAGAACCUGAAACCGUGUACGUACAAGCAGUGGGAGCACCCUUUGGGGUGUGACUGCGUACCUUUUGUAUAAUGGGUCAGCGACUUAUAUUCUGUAGCAAGGUUAACCGUAUAGGGGAGCCGGAGGGAAACCGAGUCUUAACCGGGCGUUAAGUUGCAGGGUAUAGACCCGAAACCCGGUGAUCUAGCCAUGGGCAGGUUGAAGGUUGGGUAACACUAACUGGAGGACCGAACCGACUAAUGUUGAAAAAUUAGCGGAUGACCUGUGGCUGGGGGUGAAAGGCCAAUCAAACCGGGAGAUAGCUGGUUCUCCCCGAAAGCUAUUUAGGUAGCGCCUCGUGAAUUCAUCUCCGGGGGUAGAGCACUGUUUCGGCUAGGGGGCCAUCCCGGCUUACCAACCCGAUGCAAACUGCGAAUACCGGAGAAUGUUAUCACGGGAGACACACGGCGGGUGCUAACGUCCGUCGUGAAGAGGGAAACAACCCAGACCGCCAGCUAAGGUCCCAAAGUCAUGGUUAAGUGGGAAACGAUGUGGGAAGGCCCAGACAGCCAGGAUGUUGGCUUAGAAGCAGCCAUCAUUUAAAGAAAGCGUAAUAGCUCACUGGUCGAGUCGGCCUGCGCGGAAGAUGUAACGGGGCUAAACCAUGCACCGAAGCUGCGGCAGCGACACUGUGUGUUGUUGGGUAGGGGAGCGUUCUGUAAGCCUGUGAAGGUGGCCUGUGAGGGUUGCUGGAGGUAUCAGAAGUGCGAAUGCUGACAUAAGUAACGAUAAAGCGGGUGAAAAGCCCGCUCGCCGGAAGACCAAGGGUUCCUGUCCAACGUUAAUCGGGGCAGGGUGAGUCGACCCCUAAGGCGAGGCCGAAAGGCGUAGUCGAUGGGAAACGGGUUAAUAUUCCCGUACUUGGUGUUACUGCGAAGGGGGGACGGAGAAGGCUAUGUUGGCCGGGCGACGGUUGUCCCGGUUUAAGCGUGUAGGUGUGUGUUCCAGGUAAAUCCGGUUCACUUUAACACUGAGGCGUGACGACGAGGCACUACGGUGCUGAAGCAACAAAUGCCCUGCUUCCAGGAAAAGCCUCUAAGCAUCAGGUAACAUCAAAUCGUACCCCAAACCGACACAGGUGGUCAGGUAGAGAAUACCAAGGCGCUUGAGAGAACUCGGGUGAAGGAACUAGGCAAAAUGGUGCCGUAACUUCGGGAGAAGGCACGCUGACACGUAGGUGAAGUGAUUUACUCACGGAGCUGAAGUCAGUCGAAGAUACCAGCUGGCUGCAACUGUUUAUUAAAAACACAGCACUGUGCAAACACGAAAGUGGACGUAUACGGUGUGACGCCUGCCCGGUGCCGGAAGGUUAAUUGAUGGGGUCAGCGCAAGCGAAGCUCCUGAUCGAAGCCCCGGUAAACGGCGGCCGUAACUAUAACGGUCCUAAGGUAGCGAAAUUCCUUGUCGGGUAAGUUCCGACCUGCACGAAUGGCGUAAUGAUGGCCAGGCUGUCUCCACCCGAGACUCAGUGAAAUUGAACUCGCUGUGAAGAUGCAGUGUACCCGCGGCAAGACGGAAAGACCCCGUGAACCUUUACUAUAGCUUGACACUGAACAUUGAGCCUUGAUGUGUAGGAUAGGUGGGAGGCUUUGAAGUGUGGACGCCAGUCUGCAUGGAGCCGACCUUGAAAUACCACCCUUUAAUGUUUGAUGUUCUAACGUGGACCCGUAAUCCGGGUUGCGGACAGUGUCUGGUGGGUAGUUUGACUGGGGCGGUCUCCUCCUAAAGAGUAACGGAGGAGCACGAAGGUUGGCUAAUCCUGGUCGGACAUCAGGAGGUUAGUGCAAUGGCAUAAGCCAGCUUGACUGCGAGCGUGACGGCGCGAGCAGGUGCGAAAGCAGGUCAUAGUGAUCCGGUGGUUCUGAAUGGAAGGGCCAUCGCUCAACGGAUAAAAGGUACUCCGGGGAUAACAGGCUGAUACCGCCCAAGAGUUCAUAUCGACGGCGGUGUUUGGCACCUCGAUGUCGGCUCAUCACAUCCUGGGGCUGAAGUAGGUCCCAAGGGUAUGGCUGUUCGCCAUUUAAAGUGGUACGCGAGCUGGGUUUAGAACGUCGUGAGACAGUUCGGUCCCUAUCUGCCGUGGGCGCUGGAGAACUGAGGGGGGCUGCUCCUAGUACGAGAGGACCGGAGUGGACGCAUCACUGGUGUUCGGGUUGUCAUGCCAAUGGCACUGCCCGGUAGCUAAAUGCGGAAGAGAUAAGUGCUGAAAGCAUCUAAGCACGAAACUUGCCCCGAGAUGAGUUCUCCCUGAGACUUAGAGUCUCCUGAAGGAACGUUGAAGACGACGACGUUGAUAGGCCGGGUGUGUAAGCGCAGCGAUGCGUUGAGCUAACCGGUACUAAUGAACCGUGAGGCUUAACCUU